UUCCGGUUGAUCCUGCCGGACCCCACUGCUAUCGAGGUGGGACUAAGCCAUGCCAGUCGAACGACCCGGACUAUGGCGGGGAGUGGCAGACUGCUCAGUAACACGUAGCUAACCUACCCUCGGGACGGGGAUAACCCCGGGAAACUGGGGCUAAUACCCGAUAGGUAUGGAUUCCUGGAAUGGUGCCAUGCCUAAACGUAAGCACAUCCAUGUUUGUGUGCACGCCCGAGGAUGGGGCUGCGGCCGAUCAGGCAGUUGGUGAGGUAACGGCUCACCAAACCUUUGACCGGUACGGGCCAUGAGAGUGGUAGCCCGGAGAUGGGCACUGAGACAAGGGCCCAGGCCCUACGGGGCGCAGCAGGCGCGAAACCUCCACAAUUCACGCAAGUGAGAUGGGGUUACCUCGAGUGCUAUCUGAAGAAGGUGGCUUUUCCAUGGUGUAAUGAGCCGUGGGAAUAAGGGGGGGGCAAGACUGGUGUCAGCCGCCGCGGUAACACCAGCCCCCCGAGUGGUGGGGAUGAUUAUUUGGCCUAAAGCGUCCGUAGCCAGCUCGGUAAAUCUCUCGUUAAAUCCAGCGUCCUAAGCGUUGGGCUGCGCGGGAAACUGCCGAACUAGAGGGUGGGAGAGGUCAGCGGUAUUCCUGGGGUAGGGGCGAAAUCCAUUGAUCCCAGGAGGACCACCAGUGGCGAAGGCUGCUGACUAGAACACGCCUGACGGUGAGGGACGAAAGCUGGGGUAGCGAAUCGGAUUAGAUACCCGAGUAGUCCCAGCCGUAAACGAUGCAGGCUAGGUGUUGGGUCGGCCACGCGCCGCCUCAGUGCCACAGGGAAGCCAUUAAGCCUGCCGCCUGGGGAGUACGGCCGCAAGGCUGAAACUUAAGGAAUUGGCGGGGGAGCACCACCAGGCGUGAAGCCUGCGGUUUAUUGGAAUCAACGCCGGAA
RNAcentral lists this ribosomal RNA (941 nucleotides) under uncultured archaeon. Its description in RNAcentral is "bacterial SSU rRNA". It matches the Rfam family "Archaeal small subunit ribosomal RNA", at positions 1 to 923 of the family's 1478-position model. The record is from RNAcentral.